AUUGCGGAAGGCACGACGUCUCUCCUCCCAACCCCCCAGGUCCGAAAGGAAGCAAGGGCCGGAGCGAGAGCGGGCGAUGCCUCUCCGCAUUUUU
RNAcentral lists this signal recognition particle RNA (94 nucleotides) under Bacteroidota bacterium. RNAcentral's name for it is "signal recognition particle sRNA small type". It matches the Rfam family "Bacterial small signal recognition particle RNA". From Rfam's summary of the family: The signal recognition particle (SRP) is a universally conserved ribonucleoprotein involved in the co-translational targeting of proteins to membranes. The record is from RNAcentral. Lineage: Bacteria; Pseudomonadati; Bacteroidota.